Molecule: long non-coding RNA, 2519 nt
Filed under: Oryza brachyantha (malo sina)
Lineage: Eukaryota; Viridiplantae; Streptophyta; Magnoliopsida; Poales; Poaceae
Description: long non-coding RNA (OBRA_LNC002099)
Source: RNAcentral
UAGCCCAGAGCCCCAGACAAUUAAUUAGCUGCGACGGAUUCCUUUGUCAUUUUAACUACUCCCAUGAUUCUUUUCACGGGUUUCAUCAGAUUAACUAGUCCCAUUAGGAUUUGGAGAAAAGAUUCGGUGGUUAGGGAAUCAAUCCCGUGGCGGCCACAGCGAGGCCCCGGAUUAAUCAAUGUUAUCCUCAGGUUUGCAGCUCGCUUAUCUUAAUGGUUUCUUCAGUUCUUCGUCUUUUCUAUUGGUGGCCUUCUGGGGAUUGAUGGCCGCAAGUUUUGCAUGUUGUUUGAUCUUGUUUUCUCUGGGUGGUGUUUUUGGUGCCGAUUCAUGUGUGGUCCUGCAGUUCCUUUUUUUUUAGCAUGUUCAUCAAACAUGUCUUGCUCCAGAUCCGUCGGUGUAUUGAAGUUAAAAACAGCUAGCAAGGUGCCUAAUUUUUUUUUUAAAAAAAGAGAGCUAUGUGCAAUGAUGACAUAAUUGAUUUGGUUUGCUGGGAUAAUGGGGAUACGAUCAAUUGAAUUUCAUCAUAAAAUUUAUGACGUGUUUUGUCCCUAUUUUCAUGGGUUAAAAGUAGGCCACAGAAAUCUUGAGAUGAUGAUGAAAGGUGCAAAACAUUGUUUUAACUUUAGAGGGUUCUUUUUCCUACAAAAGCACCCAGUCCUCUUGUUUAAUUUAUAGCAGGCAGUGCUAUCAUAAUAUUAUUUGCAAUAUGCCAUACUAAAAGCAAACAGCUUUAUUCAACAAAAACAUAAUUAACUUUACUCCAAAGAGCUAGCUAGCCUAACACUUCAAAAGCACACACGGUCCUUUAAAUUUAAACAUAUAUCGCAAAAUGUCAGCGUGCCCUCCGGCUGUGCAGACGUUAAUUCGUAUACAUAUAUAUACAAUUUCUUGGAAAGAUUCUGCAAGUACACACCUUUAUUUGCUAGGUUAAAUUCCAAUUGGCACCAGGUAUGCAUGGGUCAGUGCAGCUAAUUACUUUAAUUAGUCGAUUGAUUCGCUUGCUUAUCGCUGCACCAUUGGUCUAGAGUCUAGACAACAUCAAACAUGUACGGAGAGUUAAAAAGGAAAUCAAUUGCUCCAUCCUCCUUACGGCUCAAGCAAAAGAUUAGCAAGAGGGAAUGGCUGCCACGUUUCGCCGUGCCAUGGGCAAGCGUACUGUCUAGUGCUAUUUAGGCUGCGUUCGGAUGGCACGUAGGUUAGUUACUUCCCUCGUUUUUCACGCACAUAUUUUUCAAACUGCUAAACGGUAUAUAUUUUUUAAAAAAAUAUAUGAAAGUUGUUUUAAAAAAUUAUAUUAAUUUUUUAAUAUUUUCUAAUAAUUAAUAAUUAAUUAAUUAUGUACUAAUAGAAACGUUUUCGAUGUCAUGGCAUAAGUUAACUUACCGCCACACCCGGACGCGGCCUUACUCUACUACCUGCAGACUAAUCACUAAAUAAUCACCCUUUCUUAGCGGGCAUCCUAUCAGGCUUAGGCAUUGAAAUGGUGUUAUUUUAGUGGGUCAUGUCACAUGGUUAGUGGCGUAAUUCAAGGAAAGGUUAAAGAUUUUAGUUUGGAUAAAGUUGGUGAGUUCUUCAUAAGGGUAGUAGUUAAAGAUUAAAAUGUGGGUGCAAAACUAUGUUCCGUACGAGUAAAGAUCAAAUCUUUUUUUUUUUUUGGGGGUUUGGGGGUUGUCAUGGAGCUUUGACUUGCCUUGUUGUUAGUAGGUAGAAGAAGUUAAUGAACUUUUUGUUACAGGCAGAUUAAUGUGUGUGCUACCUUUUUCUCUUUCCAUGUUUCCACCAAAUGCUGCAUUUGCAACUGCAUUACGGCAACUUCCAAGUCUUGAUGAAUAUAUAAAGCCAUACUAAGAUGGUCAUUUGUGCUUAACAGCAAUUUUUGCCAUAGAUUAAUCUUUUGUGUAGUUUUUUUAUACUACCAUUUAUAAGAUGAUCAUUGCAGGUUUUGGGCAGAUCCAAGGAGAUUAGUUGGAGGUUGGGAAGCAGGGGCGUGGCUUGUCCGGGAGGAAGGGUUCUUCCAUUUCUUUAAUCAACUUUUGUAGUUAGUAAGUGUAUUAACAUAAAGCAAGUGGAGAUCAUGGAGCAUGCGAGGGAAUCGAGCACAUGAUCAUCAGAAUUUGGGUUUAUCCUAGCCAUCAUGUUGAUCUCUCUGACUUGGACAACUGUGUCCUUACUUAGCUUUGAUCUCUAAAUUAACUACUUUUCAAUAGUACUACUGCUAUAAUUAAUUGAAACCAGCCUAGAUGUGUGUGUAAAGGAUCAUGAUCAUACAGCCUUAAUACAGCUAGGCUCAGCUAAUGAGGUCUAUUAAGAACUUCUCCCUCCUUAACCCCAGAAGCUAACCAUGCAUGUAGAUCAACCAUAUCCACUGACCAUUGCCUUUCUUCUAUAAAAACCUUUCAUAUGGUUGGCUAGCUUUACUAUUAGCUAGAAUGGCCCAUGACAUACAUGUACACGAGUUUGUACACUGCAUUGCUAUGUAAUUUUUAAAAGCACUUGGGAUCUCAAAUUCACAAUUCCAG